UACGGGCCGGCUNGAGUGCGGUAGGGGAGACUGGAACUCCUGGUGUAGCGGUGGAAUGCGCAGAUAUCAGGAAGAACACCGGUGGCGAAGGCGGGUCUCUGGGCCGUUACUGACGCUGAGGAGCGAAAGCGUGGGGAGCGAACAGGAUUAGAUACCCUGGUAGUCCACGCCGUAAACGUUGGGCACUAGGUGUGGGGGGCCUUUUCCGGNUCUUCCGCGCCGUAGCUAACGCAUUAAGUGCCCCGCCUGGGGAGUACGGCCGCAAGGCUAAAACUCAAAGGAAUUGACGGGGGCCCGCACAAGCGGCGGAGCAUGCGGAUUAAUUCGAUGCAACGCGAAGAACCUUACCAAGGCUUGACAUGUGCCGGUCUGCUCCGGAGACGGGGUUUCCUCCCUUGUGGGGGCUGGUUCACAGGUGGUGCAUGGUUGUCGUCAGCUCGUGUCGUGAGAUGUUGGGUUAAGUCCCGCAACGAGCGCAACCCUUGUCUCGUGUUGCCAGCACGUUGUGGUGGGGACUCGCGGGAGACUGCCGGGGUCAACUCGGAGGAAGGUGGGGAUGACGUCAAAUCAUCAUGCCCCUUAUGUCUUGGGCUUCACGCAUGCUACAAUGGCCGGUACAGAGGGCUGCGAUACCGUGAGGUGGAGCGAAUCCCUUAAAGCCGGUCUCAGUUCGGAUCGGUGUCUGCAACUCGACACCGUGAAGUUGGAGUCGCUAGU
RNAcentral lists this ribosomal RNA (717 nucleotides) under uncultured bacterium. RNAcentral describes it as "bacterial SSU rRNA". It matches the Rfam family "Bacterial small subunit ribosomal RNA", at positions 631 to 1339 of the family's 1533-position model. The record is from RNAcentral.